This is a long non-coding RNA of Nerophis lumbriciformis (worm pipefish), 1840 nucleotides long. RefSeq lists it as uncharacterized. Lineage: Eukaryota; Metazoa; Chordata; Actinopteri; Syngnathiformes; Syngnathidae. The record is from RefSeq and is a predicted model, not a curated record.
CUAUAGUUAGCUGUCCUAUUUAGUCGUCAGAGAGCCAACCAUUUCCUCGAAGUGUUAGCUAGUGACGAGCUAGCCUGCUAGCCGACGACAUUAGCGUGCGCGUUUAGCUCACGCUAUCCUUCAAUUUCGGGAACAAACAAAAACAAAACAUGAAGGCACGACUCACUCGGAUGGUAGCAAAUGUAUGAAAUGAACGGUGCUGACCUCUGAGCGCCUCUUGAAGCGAGUCAAUUUCCAUCACGCCGUCGCCCUCUUGUCAGUCCAGUGGCGGUGAUAGGCAGACUGGCGGCUAGCUGCUAAUGCUAAAGCUAAUGCUAAUGCUAAGCUACCAGCUAGCAGGCAGAGGAGGAAGGAGCAUGUUAAUAUGGCGCCCACACUCACUGCCUGGGAACCACAGACGGCGAACAAGAAGGAGCAAGAGAAGUCCGCAUGGAGCUGGAGGGGGCGUGGCCUCCAGCUCCGGCUGAAAAUCGGGAGAUUUCCGGGAGAAUAUUUGUCCCGGGAGGUUUUCGGGAGAGGCGCUGAAUUUCGGGAGUCUCCCGGAAAAUUCGGGAGGGUUGGCAAGAAAACUUGGGGAAUCCGACCACACAGGGUGUUGACCGUGUCCAAGAAGUUGGUCUGCAUGGGAUAGAACAGCGACUGGAACAUGUUGUCCUCAAAAGGGAACUGGAGCAGUAACAAAAAAACAUGACGGUAAGGAUCUCUUUCUCUUGCACUUCCGCACGGCUGCUCUAACUCUACAAUCAACACACCUGACGCUGAUGAGAUCCCUGCCUUCAUAGGCCAGCGCGUCCUGCGUUCCAGUGCCAGAACGUAGCGACUUGUACCAGUAAACCCUUCGUCAUCCCCUGGUUUCGAGCUGUGUGUCUCGUCUCCCAGGAUCCCCUCUGGGCUUCCUGCUACCUUCUCGGAUCUCGACCUCACGCCUGCCCCCGGACAACGACGCCUCGUUCCAGCCCCUGACCACCUUCCUGUCCCCGGACCUCCGAGCCUGCCUUGCCCUUUCUGAACUUCCGCACCGAUCUCAACACGUACCUUCAACACCACCCGGUCCGCAUGGAGAUGGAGGGGGCGUGGCUUCCAGCUCCGGCUGAAAAUCGGGAGAUUUUCGGGAGAAUAUUUGGUUUUCGGGAGAGGCGCUGAAUUUCGGGAGUCUCCCGGAAAAUUCGGGAGGGUUGGCAAGUAUGAGUUAAGUCCUUGUUCAGAAAAGGUGUAUCACUCUUUAAAAUGGUCAUUAUAUAUUUGAUCUAUUCUUGUCGUGUAAAAGGCUCUUUCUUGUUAUUAGAAUCCGAUUGUGGUCUGACAAACCAGAUGGAAAAUUGUUAUGUGAAUAAUGAUCUUAUUGACUCAAUCGCAGCAAGAGAAAACCACUUAUAGAUUUGUCUGUCCUGCAAUAUACCUGUUAUUACAGGGUGUUGUUAUUUCAUUAAACACCAGCUGACAGACAAAAUCAAUACGCGGCACAGCUUCGCACUUGAUUAAAUGACUGGAUUUAGUCCCAGGAGAAGGUCCACUUGUUAAGUUAAUGUUGCGGACUCGGUGUGAAAUCAUCAAUAAUCAUAUGGAGCACGGGGGAUAAACUAUAAGGCAGGGGGGAAAAAAGCUGUUUUUAUAAUAGAGUUGUUAUAAUUUUAAUCACAUUAUGCAGAUGAAAUAAGAAAUGCUGCAGCCUUACAAGGAAGAAGAGUCUCUGAGCUGCACACGGUAGGAAGAAGUCAUUCCACUGGUCAGGGUUCCCGACUGGGAAGGUGAUGGUGUAUAAGUUGUACUGAAACUUGGUUGUGAUAAAGCGAGGUCACCGGCUCAGCUGGAAGAGACCUUCUUUAAAUUAUACAUUUAA